RNAcentral lists this long non-coding RNA (3253 nucleotides) under Nicotiana tabacum (common tobacco). RNAcentral describes it as "long non-coding RNA (NTAB_LNC008161)". The record is from RNAcentral. Lineage: Eukaryota; Viridiplantae; Streptophyta; Magnoliopsida; Solanales; Solanaceae.
GCGUACUUAUCUUCUAGUUGGAUAAAUGAUAUUGUAUCCUUUUUUUCUAAGGAUUCAAGCACCUGUACACUCCUACCUAAAUGCAAUUCCGUAUUUUAAGGAAAGAUUUUGUUUUGCUCUAGAGUUUAUUUCAAAGACGGAAAUUUAUAAUUGUGCAUGCCUAUAAAUACCAGUGUGCAAUAUCUUUUCUUGCAUCCCGAGUUUAUAAACACAUGCAAACUCGGCAAUCGACUUCUCCCAGGUAAAGUCGACUCAAUCUUCUUUCUUUUGAAUUUUAAAUAUUGAUCACUUUCCCAUAACAAAUAUGUUGGUUCUCAUGCUUUACAUGUAAUCAUGUAGUUACCAAAGGAAUGUUCCAAGUAAAGGCUAUGCUUUAUUCUCUAAAUUGUCGAUUCUUCACGAGUUGUUUUUGAUUUAUUAUUUUUUUUCUUGUAAAAUUUUGGUGGCAUUGAUAUUUUAGACACGAUACCUCUAAGAAUCAUCUUCCACUUGAAAAUAAAAACUUCCUUUACCAGGCUUUAUUUGCUGAAGCUUCAUAGUUUAGUAAUAGUAACAUCUUAACUUGAAAGGUCAUAGAAUUUACUUCCUUCAGUGGAAUGUAAUAGUUAAGAAGACAAUCCAUUUUAUCGGUGCUUCAUUAUAAUAUGUUCCAAGCUUUGAAUGAUUCUUCAGGGUUCAAAUGAAUUUUUUGCUUCAUCCUUGCACUUGUUCUAUUAUUUCUUUUUUCGUUCCAACUUUCGUUCUUCCGCAUACACAUCCUCUUGCUGGACUAUUUUCACUAUGGUGUUUUAUUGUUAUACAUCCAAUACAAUAUUUUAAUGAAUUCAUGAAGAACACCAAGAUCUUAUUUUCCCUUCGGGUAAUAUCUUCCCGUCUCUUGUAUUCAUUUGGGUCUUUCUUUGUUGUUGUUUCUUUCCAGGUUCAAAGGAGGGGACAAUUAGUUAUUGAAUCAGUAUUUUGAGUUAUUUAUCCCAUUUGAGGCGAAGACUUUAUUUUACCUUAGUCAAGGCAAAGAUUUUGCAAUGUCUCGAGUAGAAGAAUUUACAAGAUCAUUACACCAUUUUAAAUCGAAGACUAUAAAAUAUUAUUACACCGUCUAACUCAAAAACUUUUCUUUGUCCCAUGUGAAAAUUAUUACACUGUCUAAGCUGAAAAUUUUAUUUCAUCCGAGACAAAGACCAUUACACCGUCUGAGCCAAAAAUUUUACUUUGUCUGAGGUGAAGACUAUUACACCAUUUAGCGAAGGAUUUUAAUUUGUCUGAGGUAAAUACCAUUACACCGUCUGAGCCAAAAAAAAAUUUAUUUUUUCUGAGGUGAAGACCAUUGCAACAUCCGAGCCAAAGGUUUUUUUAAUUUUUUCUAAGGUGAAGAUCAUUACACCGUCUGAGCCAAAGAUUUUACUUUGUCUGAGGUGAAGACCAUUACACCGUCUGAGCCAAAAAAAAUUAUUUUUUCUGAGGUUAAGAUCAUUACACUCUCUAAGCUAGAGAUUUACUUGUCUGAAGUGAAGACCAUUACACCGUUGAGCCAAAGAUUUUUUUUUUCUGAGGUGAAGAUCAUUACACCAUCUGAGCCAAAAAAUUUACUUUGUCUGAGGUGAAGACUAUUACACCGUCUGAGCCAAAGAUUUUUUUUAUUUUUUCUAAGGUGAGAGCCAAAGACUUCACUUUAUAGAGGCAAUGUAUAUUACACCGGCUAAGCUAAAGACUAUAUUUUGCAAAGGCGAAGACAACCAUCUAAGCUGAAGACUUUACUUUGUCCAAGGCUAAGACCAUUAUACUGUCUUAGCUGAAGAUUAUAUUUUGUCCAAGGCGAAUACCAGCGAAGAUAAUUAUAGAGUCUAACUUGCAGAUUUUACUUUACCGCCAAAAGAUUUGACCUUUUGAUGCAAAUGAACAAAAACUCGUCCUCAUUUCGAGAUGCAAUAAUUAGAGAUUGUAUGAAGCAUGAAAAAAAAACUGACCACCAAGAAUAUCUCUUCAAUGUCAAUCUUCACAGGUAAUUUUAUGAUUUCCUUUAUAUAGAUAUGUUUCUCUUUCCCUUUUUUGCAGGUAGAAGAAAAGAUCACUUCCAACGAUACCACUUUAGUAAAGAUAACCUCACAGUCGAAGAAUCUUUUUUUUCCUGCAACAUAAAUCAAGUCAUACAAGCCAACAUUUUAAAUACUUUCAGUUGAAGAUUUUAAGAUAUGUUAAAAACUUCCUUCAAAUAAUUCAAGAUAUAAAUAUUUAAAGAUGGUGCAGACUAUAUCAAAGGUUGUUACCAUAUACUUGGAGAUAUACUGAAGCUUCAAACUAAAGAAUUGAAGUCCAUAUCAAUUUGAAGACUUCAAGAUUAUUAUGGGGGCUUUUUAUUGUCUUUCAGUUGAAGACUUGGUACUUAGAAGAAUUUAACUUGCAUAUUUCAACUUGAAGACAUGGCAGACUUGAAGGCUUCUACUUGAAGACUUAGUAGAUUUGGAGACUUCAAGUUGAUGAUUCAACUUGAAAUUUUGCAGAAUUGAAGACUUUAACUCGAAGAUUUAGGUAGAUUUUAAGAAUUCAAAUUGAAGGUUAAAGUAUAAGAGUUAUACUUGAAGAUGUAGCCACUUUGAAGAAUUCAACUUGGAGAUGUGUCAGACUUGGAUAGUUGAAGACUUAGCGGACUAGAAGAAUUUAACUCGACUUCAACUUGAAGAUUUAGCAUGCUAGAGACUUCAAAUCAAUGAUAUAGAAAAUAUGAAGAAUUCAACUUGACGACUUAGCAAACUUAAAGAAUUCAGCUCAAAGACAUGACGUUCUUGAAAAUUUUGCAGCCUGCUAAAGACUACAAUUUUAUCGAAGAUACCAAUCUCGGUGAAGAGGAUCAAGUCAUUAUGCAGUUUACAACAAGUGAGGUUUUUUAAUACUUUAUGGAUUUGAAGACUUGGUGGACUUGAAUACUGCAACUUUAAGACCUAGCAGGCUUAAAUACUUCAAAUUGAUGAUGUAAUAGACUUGACAAAAUCAACUUGACUUAGAAUUGGAGCCUUCAACUUGAAUAUUUAGCCUCUUAUUAAAGAAACUACAAUCAUUUCAUCAAAGACCUCAAUUUGACAUGGAGGGAUUGCCCCCAUUGAGCCAUCAAGAUAAGAUAGAGAGCUCAACGAAAGAAUACAUGUACACCUAAUUUUCAAGUGUCAAUCAAGUGAAUUAUAUUCUAUCUUACCUCAUUUGAAUAAUGCCUUGGAUAAAAUGUAUUUUUGAACUCAUAUGACUGAACUUAGAAUGAAAC